AUAAUUUCUUACAACCUACCGUUUCGUCCGCGAUUCUCAAUCCUCUUCUGUGCAUAGGGGUAUGCCCGUAAUUAUAUCCCAAAACCAAUGGCCAUUUCAUAUCGUACACCGACCGCCAAAAAAACCCUAGAUACUCACAAUUUUGAGACUCGCAGAGAGACUUUUUCCUCUCUCUCUUUUGUCAGAGACUCGGAAUGAAUAAUUAAGACUUGUUGAUUCAUUGCUCCCUCUGUUUCUUUAUCAUUCUCAAGCUUUUCAGGGUUUCCAAUUUUUGUUCCUGUGGAAAGGCUCUGGCUUAUCCCUCGGUUUCUUGAUCGCCAUGUCCAAAAGGGUUCUCUGCAAAUUUUUUGCCCAUGGAGCCUGUUUGAAAGGGGAGCAUUGUGAGUUUUCACAUGAUUGGAAGGCAACACCAAAUAAUAUAUGUACCUUUUAUCAGAAAGGCGCUUGUGCAUUUGGUAGUCGAUGCAGAUAUGAACAUGUUAAAGCUUCUCGGGCUCAGUCUUCUGGUUCGUCUUCAUCAACAAUUUCUCAGCAAUCUCUGGCUGUUGAUUCUUUAUCUCUGGCUCAUCCUUCAAGAACCUCAUCAAGUGGAGUUGCUCUUGCCCCGGGAAUUCUUUCGGAACUCUCUGCUUCAAGUAGUCCUUUCUUACCUCCCUCUAAGCCUGCCUGGAAUGGUUCCCUGGAUGAUGAUGAUUAUGAUGAUAAUGGUGACAAUGAUGAUGAUGGUGCUGGGGCGACUAGGAGUACUAGGCCAGAAGAUCAUGCUAUUUGUUCAUUUGCUGCAGCGGGUAAUUGUCCUCGUGGAGAAAAAUGUCCUCAUAUUCAUGGAGAUAUAUGCCCCAGCUGUGGAAAACAUUGCUUGCAUCCUUACAGACCUAUGGAAAGGGAGGAGCAUAUGAAGACAUGUGAGGAAAAGCAGAAGCAACUUGAGGCUUUGAAACGCAGUCAAGAAAUAGAAUGCAGUGUUUGCCUGGAACGUGUUUUGUCAAAGCCCACAGUUGCUGAGCGGAAGUUUGGGAUACUCUCAGAAUGUGAUCAUCCUUUUUGCGUAUCUUGUAUUCGAAAUUGGCGUAGUAGUUCCCCAACUUCUGGUAUGGAUGUCAAUAGUGCAUUGAGAGCGUGCCCAAUAUGUCGGAAGCUGUCAUACUUUGUCAUUCCAAGUGUCAUUUGGUAUAACACAAAAGAAGAGAAACAGGAAAUUAUUGACAGCUACAAGUCAAGGCUCAGGUCAAUUGAUUGCAAGCACUUCGAUUUUGGAAAUGGGAACUGCCCAUUUGGAACUAGUUGCUUUUAUAAGCAUGCAUACAGGGAUGGCCGUCUGGAGGAAGUAGCACUGCGCCAUCUUGGAAAUGAAGAUGGUCAGACGGUGAUAGCUACAAAUAUUAGGCUGUCAGACUUUCUUGCUGAUCUACACAUAAGGUGAAUAACGCCGUUUCAACAUUCCAAUGAUUUUUUUACAUCAAGAACAUAUGCGCAGCUCUCAUGCUGGUGUUUCAAUUGCAAGUGGAAUACUCCAGUGGUUUGAAAGAAUUGCUUGCUUGAUGGUGAUCCAGUUUUUGGAGAAAGCAUACAUGUAACAGAAUUCAAAAUAAAAGUAAUUAUGGAGUGGAUGAGCAUAUGUUGAGGAUUUUGACAAUUAUAUUUGUGCCUGCCUGUGGCUUCAAUAAGUGUCUACAGAUUGGGUCAAAAUGAAAUUGAAUAAAGGAUAGGAUGUAUGGACAGCAUGCCAAUAUCAAACUGGUUGGUUGGGGACUGUAUAUAAAUUAUAAAAAUGGAUAGUGGGAUUCAAAUGGGUUUUUUUCAUCAUCAAUGGUGGAGGUGAUAGAUGCUUUGAAUAAAAUAAGACGUGUUUUUGUUUAGAGGGUGUUGCCUGGGUUAUUGUCAUAUUUAGAUAUUCAUUGGUUUUUCGACCACAUU
Molecule: non-coding RNA, 1917 nt
Organism: Prunus avium (sweet cherry)
Lineage: Eukaryota; Viridiplantae; Streptophyta; Magnoliopsida; Rosales; Rosaceae
Source: RefSeq, a predicted model, not a curated record